Molecule: ribosomal RNA, 253 nt
Filed under: uncultured bacterium
Lineage: Bacteria
Description: partial 16S ribosomal RNA
Rfam family: Bacterial small subunit ribosomal RNA
Source: RNAcentral
UACGGAGGGUGCAAGCAUUAAUCGGAUUGAUUGGGCGUAAAGGGCGCGUAGGCGGGGAUUUAAGUCAGAUGUGAAAUCCCGAGGCUCAACCUCGGAACUGCAUUUGAAACUGGAUUUCUAGAGGAUAGGCGGAGAAAACGGAAUUCCACAAGUAGCGGUGAAAUGCGUAGAUAUGUGGAAGAACACCUGUGGCGAAAGCGGUUUUCUAGCUUAGACCUGACGCUGAGGCGCGAAAGCAAGGGGAGCAAACAGG